UACGUAGGGGGCAAGCGUUGUCCGGAUUUAUUGGGCGUAAAGAGCGUGUAGGCGGCUUGGUAGGUCCGCUGUGAAAACUCGAGGCUCAACCUCGAGAUGUCGGCGGAAACCACUUGGCUAGAGUCCGGAAGAGGAGAGUGGAAUUCCUGGUGCAGCGGUGAAAUGCGCAGAUAUCAGGAGGAACACCAAUGGCGAAGGCAGCUCGCUGGAACGGUACUGACGCUGAGGCGCGAAAGCGUGGGGAGCAAACAGG
Molecule: ribosomal RNA, 253 nt
Filed under: uncultured bacterium
Lineage: Bacteria
Description: partial 16S ribosomal RNA
Rfam family: Bacterial small subunit ribosomal RNA
Source: RNAcentral